UCUACGGGGCGCAGCAGUGGGGAAUAUUGGACAAUGGGCGAAAGCCUGAUCCAGCCAUGCCGCGUGUGUGAAGAAGGCCUUCGGGUUGUAAAGCACUUUCAGUGGGGAAGAAAGCCUUGGGGCUAAUACCCUCGAGGAAGGACAUCACCCACAGAAGAAGCACCGGCUAACUCCGUGCCAGCAGCCGCGGUAAUACGGAGGGUGCGAGCGUUAAUCGGAAUUACUGGGCGUAAAGCGCGCGUAGGCGGUCUGAUAAGCCGGUUGUGAAAGCCCCGGGCUCAACCUGGGAACGGCAUCCGGAACUGUCAGGCUAGAGUGCAGGAGAGGAAGGUAGAAUUCCCGGUGUAGCGGUGAAAUGCGUAGAGAUCGGGAGGAAUACCAGUGGCGAAGGCGGCCUUCUGGACUGACACUGACGCUGAGGUGCGAAAGCGUGGGUAGCAAACAGGAUUAGAUACCCUGGUAGUC
This 465-nucleotide ribosomal RNA is filed under the name Vreelandella stevensii. RNAcentral describes it as "partial 16S ribosomal RNA". It matches the Rfam family "Bacterial small subunit ribosomal RNA", at positions 338 to 795 of the family's 1533-position model. Lineage: Bacteria; Pseudomonadati; Pseudomonadota; Gammaproteobacteria; Oceanospirillales; Halomonadaceae. The record is from RNAcentral.